CCUACGGGAGGCUGCAGUGGGGAAUAUUGGACAAUGGGCGAAAGCCUGAUCCAGCCAUGCCGCGUGUGUGAAGAAGGCCUUCGGGUUGUAAAGCACUUUCAGUGGGGAAGAAAGCCUUGGGGCUAAUACCCUCGAGGAAGGACAUCACCCACAGAAGAAGCACCGGCUAACUCCGUGCCAGCAGCCGCGGUAAUACGGAGGGUGCGAGCGUUAAUCGGAAUUACUGGGCGUAAAGCGCGCGUAGGCGGUCUGAUAAGCCGGUUGUGAAAGCCCCGGGCUCAACCUGGGAACGGCAUCCGGAACUGGCAGGCUAGAGUGCAGGAGAGGAAGGUAGAAUUCCCGGUGUAGCGGUGAAAUGCGUAGAGAUCGGGAGGAAUACCAGUGGCGAAGGCAGCCUUCUGGACUGACACUGACGCUGAGGUGCGAAAGCGUGGGUAGCAAACAGGAUUAGAUACCCUAGUAGUC
This 465-nucleotide ribosomal RNA is filed under the name Vreelandella stevensii. RNAcentral's name for it is "partial 16S ribosomal RNA". It matches the Rfam family "Bacterial small subunit ribosomal RNA", at positions 338 to 795 of the family's 1533-position model. The record is from RNAcentral. Lineage: Bacteria; Pseudomonadati; Pseudomonadota; Gammaproteobacteria; Oceanospirillales; Halomonadaceae.